This 823-nucleotide ribosomal RNA is filed under the name uncultured Alphaproteobacteria bacterium. RNAcentral describes it as "bacterial SSU rRNA". It matches the Rfam family "Bacterial small subunit ribosomal RNA", at positions 58 to 936 of the family's 1533-position model. Lineage: Bacteria; Pseudomonadati; Pseudomonadota; Alphaproteobacteria. The record is from RNAcentral.
CAAGUCGAACGCACCGCAAGGUGAGUGGCAGACGGGUGAGUAACACGUGGGAAUUUUCCCUUCAGUUCAGGAUAGCCCCGGGAAACUGGGAUUAAUACUGAAUAUUAUCUACGGAUGAAAGAUUUAUCGCUGAAGGAUAAGCCCGCGUAAGAUUAGCUAGUUGGUGAGGUAAUGGCUCACCAAGGCUACGAUCUUUAGCUGGUCUGAGAGGAUGAUCAGCCACACUGGAACUGAGACACGGUCCAGACUCCUACGGGAGGCAGCAGUGAGGAAUAUUGGACAAUGGGCGCAAGCCUGAUCCAGCCAUGCCGCGUGAGUGAUGAAGGCCUUAGGGUUGUAAAACUCUUUUAGUGGGGAAAAUAAUGAUGGUACCCACAGAAAAAGCUCCGGCUAACUUCGUGCCAGCAGCCGCGGUAAUACGAAGGGAGCAAGCGUUACUCGGAAUUACUGGGCGUAAAGCGCAUGUAGGCGGACUUUCAAGUCAGAGGUGAAAUCCCAGGGCUCAACCCUGGAAUUGCCUUUGAAACUGUAAGUCUUGAGUAUGACAGAGGAUGGUGGAAUUUCCAGUGUAGAGGUGAAAUUCGUAGAUAUUGGAAGGAACACCGGUGGCGAAGGCGACCAUCUGGGUCAUUACUGACGCUGAGAUGCGAAAGCGUGGGGAGCAAACAGGAUUAGAUACCCUGGUAGUCCACGCCGUAAACGAUGAGUGCUAGUUGUUGGAUUUUUCCAGUGACACAGUUAACACGUUAAGCACUCCGCCUGGGGAGUACGGUCGCAAGAUUAAAACUCAAAGGAAUUGACGGGGACCCGCACAAGCGGUGGA